CAAUCAGUGAAAUGAAUCCACCCCAACCCAAGCAACAUUCCUUCGUAGAGACUUCUAUGAAUAUAGUAUUUAUUAUCGCAUAUCGUCUUGUGUAGAUGAAUUAGAUAUGCAAGGAAGAUAGCAGUUGAACAAUCGUCAGUAACGGAUGACCCCUAAAUUUACAUCCUUGUUUAUCAAUGUAAUACGAUGCAUAACAUGCGAAAGUGCAUACAUACCAUACUCUGUAUUGUUGUAAACAAAUACUAAACUGGUUCUGGGCUUUGUUGACGUAAGCUUCGAAAUUUUCUGUAAACUUUGAUUGCGUACAUCAUAUGACGCUCCGUGAGAAACUGAUAUAAAGAGAAGGCUGGUAGUACAGAAGGUCAUAACAAAGAGACAAUGACAGAGAAAACAUCUCUACUGUUUUGGCUGUUGGUGUAUAUCAUGUCUACCUUCAUACUGGGGACUGUGGAGGUGUGUCAUUACCUACUCUCCCCUAUCUUCCGCCGUCGUGAAUCAUAUGCUUCACUAGCUGAGUAUGAGGAAGUCAAUGCUACUUGAUCUUCAAGGAAACUUUCCAACACCCACGCUGUUGUCUCCACCUUCCAAGCUGCCAGGGCCCUAACACUGAUCUUCAUCUUAUUCAUCGGCCUCAUUAACAAUGGUUGUGAAUAACAUUUUAUGUUACAAUGUUGUAAUGGACAUUUGUUUGAAACAAAAGGAAUCAGUCACGAACUUUGUAUGUUAUCAUAUUUUGUUCAACAAAAUGCCAUUGUCAAACGUUUAUGUCCCUAAAAUAAACUUCAAAGUGUCUAGUACA
This is a long non-coding RNA of Ostrea edulis (European flat oyster), 799 nucleotides long. RefSeq lists it as uncharacterized. The record is from RefSeq and is a predicted model, not a curated record. NCBI's taxonomy places the organism in Eukaryota, Metazoa, Mollusca, Bivalvia, Ostreida, Ostreidae. The transcript is spliced from 2 exons.